CCUACGGGAGGCAGCAGUGGGGAAUAUUGCACAAUGGGGGAAACCCUGAUGCAGCGACGCCGCGUGAAUGAAGAAGUAUUUCGGUACGUAAAGCUCUAUCAGCAGGGAAGAAAAUGACGGUACCUGAGUAAGAAGCCCCGGCUAACUACGUGCCAGCAGCCGCGGUAAUACGUAGGGGGCAAGCGUUAUCCGGAUUUACUGGGUGUAAAGGGAGCGUAGACGGUGAGGCAAGUCUGAAGUGAAAUGCCGGGGCUCAACCGCGGGACUGCAUUGGAAACUGGCGAACUAGAGUGCCGGAGGGGUAAGCGGAAGUCCUAGUGUAGCGGUGAAAUGCGUAGAUAUUAGGAGGAACACCAGUGGCGAAGGCGGUUUGCUGGACGGUGACUGACGUUGAGGCUCGAAAGCGUGGGGAGCAAACAGGAUUAGAUACCCGUGUAGUC
This 440-nucleotide ribosomal RNA is filed under the name uncultured bacterium. RNAcentral describes it as "partial 16S ribosomal RNA". It matches the Rfam family "Bacterial small subunit ribosomal RNA", at positions 338 to 795 of the family's 1533-position model. The record is from RNAcentral.